Antechinus flavipes (yellow-footed antechinus) is the source of this 284-nucleotide long non-coding RNA. RefSeq lists it as uncharacterized. The transcript has 2 exons. NCBI's taxonomy places the organism in Eukaryota, Metazoa, Chordata, Mammalia, Dasyuromorphia, Dasyuridae. The record is from RefSeq and is a predicted model, not a curated record.
GUUCUUCCUUCUUACGAGGGGAAAGAAUAGCCGCCUGUGAAAGCUGUUCUGCGUAACUCGUACUUAUACCUUCUCCGCAAAAUGAAGCAGUAGGAGAACGUGGAACGCUGCCCCGCUCCCCCAUGAUGUAUUGUUCCGUUUUGCUGACUAGACUUUUUGCUAUUUUUCGAAAAAGAUCUUAUUACAAAGGUAGAGGGAAACAUUUGGCAAUAAAGAUGAUUUAAACAAAUAAUUCGUCAAGUGGAAAUAAAAAUACCCAAUAAAAGUGUAAGGAUUAAAUGGAA